Brassica rapa (field mustard) is the source of this 7216-nucleotide RNA transcript. It is a transcript of the gene named phytosulfokines 1, with no coding region annotated. Lineage: Eukaryota; Viridiplantae; Streptophyta; Magnoliopsida; Brassicales; Brassicaceae. The record is from RefSeq and is a predicted model, not a curated record.
GGUUUUUAUGGUGAGGCUCUUAGCGGAAUAUAAGAAACGUCUUUUAAUUUUUAACUAAAAAAGUUAAAAAUCGACUUUUAAAUAUCUUAUUUGUUAAGAGAAUGUGCUGUGAUAUUUCCUAGCCUCCUCCUACCUUUAUCAUCUACCAUCGUACUCAUCUUCACCUUCAGAAUCUACAAAAAAAAAAAGACAACACUGAAUAUCUCUUCUUGGUCUGGAUGAUGAAGAAAAACUAUAGUCUUAUCAUUUAUAAACUAAGCUUACUGAAUCUGACAUCUUUACUAAGCUUGCCUCUAUCUUGUAUUUGUCUCACAAGCAUUCUAUACAUCAAAACCCACCAAUAUAUAUGUAGUAGUAAAUUGGUCCUUCAACCGGAUGCUUGUCCUUAUAUCCAGUUCUAAAACUACUUCAUAGCUGCAAAUCUGCAAUAAAACAUGUAUUAUAAGGAGAGAAAAAAACUGUAAAGGAAUAUUGGCUAUAUAGAAACCUUGUGGUCCAUAGUAUUAGAAAACAAGCCCAAGUCAGGCCCAAGAUCCAUUUAUGUUAGGGUUUCCAGCAAUCUAGAAUCUUAUAUAUAUUGUUAUGAACUCUUGUGUAAGGAACUUUGGUUGCCAUAGUUGCAGCCACAUUAAACCUUUUUUAUGAUAUCAAUCAAUCUUGUUAACUCUUGGUGACAACUCUCAAGCUUCCUCUCUUUAGUUUCUUUAUCAUUCAAUAAAGCUCUAUGAGCUAUUAGGCUUUCAAUAAGCUCUUUAGAGCAUAAAUCUAUUUUAUCUUCAAAUGUUAACAUGAUAUCAGAGCUUCAAUCGAUUCAUGGGUCUUAUAUUUUUUUUUCUAGAGCUUCCGCCUAGGAUCCAAAAGCAAAUGAGACGGAGAAAUAUCCAAGACAACACGAAAAGAAUGAAUGAAAAACUUGCAAUUCCUUCAGCUCCAUUAUAUUUAGACAUUUUCCCCACUUCAAUAGUCCAGUUAUGUUUGAUCUUUGAUAUCGAGUUUUAUUAAGCUUAUGAAUGGGCAAAAAAAUUAAAAUUAUUAAGCUUAUGAAUGGGCAAAAAAAUUAAAACAGUUUUACGUAUUAUUGUAGUUUGUUUUAUCUAUCUUCUGUCACUCAACAAAUUUGUAUAGAUAAAUUAAUGAUUAGUUUCUUUUCGAGUAAUGAUUUGCUUUUUUUUUUCUUAACUGAUUUAGUUAUGUUAAUUGCAAACAUGAUUGUAUAAUUAUUACAUGGUUAUAGAGUACUCCCUCCGUUUUUUAAUAUAAGCCGUUUUAAAGAUAUACACAUAGAUUAAGAAAAUUAUUAAUUUCUUAUAUUUUUGAAAUAAAAACAUUAUUAAUUAUUUAUCUAACCACAAUUCAAUCAAUAAUAAAAUAGAAGAUAUAUUAUCAUUGGUCAGAUAACAUUAAUUAUUAAUAAAUGUUACAUAGAAAACCGAAAACGACAUAUAAUUUGAAACAAAAUUUUUUCACUAAAACGACUUAUAUUGAAAAAUGGAGAGAGUAUUGAAACUUAUAAGUAGACAAGAAAAAGAUGAUGAUGAAUAAAAUAUUUGAAUCUUAAUUGAUUUGUCUCAUUAUUGUGUUUCCCACUCAUUAAAGCUUUGUCAACACAUGUUUGCUCGUCGGUGAUUAUACUACUUAAGCCUUCUUUUCUCAUUUUCUUCUUUGGGUUUAAGCUUUAAAGCUAUGCUAUUAUUUGUUAGUAUAGUUUUCUCUAUACUUAUGUCCAACUUCGUACUUUCAAAACAAGUCCAUGAUGUUUCGGUAUAUUGAAGGUCACAUUGACACAAGCAGAGGUGACGUUUCCAAGGAGAAUUGAAAGCGUUGACCCCAAGAUGCCAAAGUUUGACUUCCCUUUCUCUCUCUAUUUCUGCUUCAUCGACCUUUCCUUGUUUUUCAGAAAAAGCCCAUUUCUCUAUACAGCAUUUAUGAUUUCAAUAGUAGACAGAUUGUAUUACUCCCGCACUGGAAUCUAUCCAGCCGCAUCUUUAUUAUUUAAUUAUAAAAUAAAGUCAAAUAUCUCCGUAUAUCUAAUAAUUUAUGUACAUGAUGGAAGUGAAAAGAACAUUUUAAAGUCUUCAUAUCAAAGAGAGAAGAAGAGGAAGACAAAAAGAAAUGAUGAAGACUAAGAGUAAAGCGUUGAUCAUCUUCUUCACUCUAGUUCUGCUUCUAAGCAUGGCCUCAAGUGUUCUUCCAAGAGAAGAUGGUUUUGCUCCUCCUAAACCAUCUCCCUCUUCCACUCAAGAGAAAGAAAGAAGUAGAAAAGGUGAUGGAGAUGGAGUAGAUCAGUGCAAGAGUUCGGACAGUGAAGAAGAAUGUCUUGUUAAGAAGACCGUAGCUGCUCACACCGAUUACAUCUAUACACAAGACUUAAAGUCAUCUCCUUGAAACAAGAACAAUAACUCUGUCUUUUAUAUAGUACAAGCUAUAAGCAUAAGCAAACUCUCCUUGACCAUUUGCUCAUGACUUCAUCAUGUUCUUUGUUAUUUUAUUCUAAUCUUUGUUUGAUUUCUGUUAAUGUCAACUUAUAUUUAUCCUUCAAUACCAACUCUAUAUAUUUUAACUAGGGUCGCCCCGCCCUACGGGCGGGAUAUACUAUACUUCUACGUAGAUAUUGUAAACCUUUAUCAAUGUUGCUAUUAUGAAAAUAGUUUUCUAACCCUCAGAUGUAGUGUGCCUUAAUGUCCCUUGCUAAAUAUUUUAAAAUUAAAUCGUAGUAUUUGUGGAACGAUGUUAAAAAAGAUAGUGAAAAAAUUUUAAUUGAAAUUCAUGUAAAUUUGUUAGUUUGGCACUGCCUUAUUGAUCUUUUUUAUUUUUUUAUUAUGUUUUUUUUUAAGUUUUAUUGACAUGACUCGAACAAUUUUUUUGUUCUUUAAUUUCUUCUACCCCAAUCUUUUUUGUUAACUAUCUCCAUGUUUCUUGUGUUUCUGAUUCAUCAGAUGAUUAAUUAGGCUUACGACAUGCUCUAUUUUUACAAACUUUUAGAAGUUCCACACUUCGUAUGUAUAUAAUUUAAAAUAAUAUUUUUCGAUAACAACACAAUAUAUAUAUAUAUAUAAUAAAUCUUAAAAAUAAAACAUAUUUUAAAAAUAAGAUAAUUUAUUAUAUAUAUUGUGUUGUUAUCGAGAAAUAAUAUUUUAAAAAUUAAAAUGUAAAAAACUUUGAUUAAAAUUAAUUGAGUAAAAACAUUUGAAUCAGGAUAUUUUAUAAAAUAUUUUUAACAUAUGAGUGUUUAAAAUUUUAUACAAUAAUAAAAAUCUAAAUUGACGACUAAAAAAAAAAUCUAAAUUAAUUGAAUUUUUCCAUAUAUUAUCAUACAGGCUUUUGAAUUAAUAAAUUAUAAAUUAAUAAGCAUUCGUAAAAAAAUUAUAUUAAAAAAUUAUGCUCGCAUGUGUAGGCAAAAUACCUAUUAUAAUUUGUUUGUUAGUAGCAUAUGACACAUCUGUGUGAUUUUAUUUUAUUUAAACCCAAUUCUAUACUUUUUUAUUUAAUCAAAUUCAAAUGUAAUCUAAAUAAGUAGUUAAUUACAAACACAAUUCGAUAGGAAACAAAUUUCUGGGAAUAAAAUUGUUGAUUAGCAUUAAUUGGGUAUAUUGUAAGUCUACGUUAGGCAUAAAAAAGGAGAAUUCAAAAUCAAAAAUGCUGAACUCAGCAAAUUACAAAUUAAAAUUUUGGUUUAGCACGUGAAGUCUACUAACUCACGUUACGGUCUCAUUAAUUAAAUUAGAUUUCCUAGUUAAAUACUAAUAAACUGAAAACCCUAAUUUCAUUUUUCUUCUCCUCUGACGGCGUUUUAUCUAUUCUUUCUUAUCUCAUUUUAUCAGAGGUAGUUCCCCCUCUCUAGUAUCUUGCGAUGCCAAAGACACCAAGCAAGUCUUCUUGUGCUUAAAGUUUUAACGGAGAUAUGUGGUUUCAUGAUGACGUUCCGCAUCAUGCCGAUUGGUGUAAAUUUCUCGCUCUCUGUUUUUGGUGAAGCCCACAGAACCUCUCUUUCUCUUUCUGUAUGAAUCUUUUGGUGGGCUCCUCGUCGGUGAUACACGGGGUGGUCUCUCCUCGGUGGUUCAGACAGAGCGGCAAGGCAGUGUCGGCUAGGUCUCCUCUGUUCUUCAUCUUUGCUUCACAGACCAGUCGUCGGUGCUCCUCAAAUUAAAAGUGUAAAUCAUCAUGUCGCCUCUUCUACUCCUAUGCUCUUCAAUCUUGCUGCUUUUUUUUUGAGCAACAGUCGUCGUCUAUUCAUUAAACUAAUUUGGACGUUUGUUUCAUCUGUUAUAAGUGUCAUUGCCCAACUCUAAAAAGACUACCGUUGGUGCUUAAGGCCCAGAAUAGCCCACUUACACAAAUAUUUCCGUUUUAAAUUUCGUCGAGCAACUUAUUACAUUACUGAAACGCAUCUUUUUUUGUUGAAGGACAGGUGUCGCUCUCAGGAUGCACGAAUUGAUGACGUGGCAUCACAGGAGAGAGGCAAACAUAUUUAUAUAUAUAUAGAUAUUUGUGAAUUUUAAUUUGGCAAGACAACAUCAAGUUUAAUUGGGCUAGAUGACCAACAAAAAAAGUUUAAGUGGGCUGUUUGGAAAAUAAAUUAACUGGGUUUAUAGCCUUGCGUGACAGGCUCAAAUGCAGGCUUUAUUGUUUAUGAAAAAAAACAUGCAAUAUGUUAAAAAGGAUGAGAAGAUACAAGUAUGGUUACAUUACUAAACUAUGAUGUUUAACUAUGAAUGAAAGUCAGUGUUACAAAAAGGUACAUUAGGCAUGUGGGGACAAUACUAAAUUAUGAUGUUUAAUUAUGAAUGAAAGACUGUAUUACAAAAAAAAGUACGUUAUGCAUGUAGAAGAGAUGGUAAUAGAUCUUACAAUAAAUUAUAUUUAGAAAUAGUCUAAAGUCUAGAGUACACGCAGAGCAAGCCCGAUCACCAGUUCACCACCUCACGUGUACUCUAGACUAUCUCAUAACAUAAUUAAAAUGCAUUUCAGUUUAUUUAUUGUAAUAUUGGAAUUAGUUCAUUUGCUAAUUAGUUUUCUUAAUAAUAAAAUGAACUAAUUCCAAUAUUACAAUAAAUCAACUAUUCAUGGAAAUGCAUUUUAAUUAUGUUAGGGGAGAUGAUAUUAUUUAUAACAAUGUUUUGUUUUUAAAUUCUUUUUACUAUUAUCUUAUAAGUUAGUCUCCAAUUUGUUUUAUAUACCGUUUUGUAGUUUUAGUGGCACUAUCACCAGGAGCCUCCACCUCCCUUUGUCUUAUUUCAUUUCAACAACCAUCCAUUACUUUGAAAUAGUGAUCUUAUUCUCGACAUAUUUUUACACAAGAAGAAAUCUUAUAUAUAAUACACACAUGCAAAAAAAAAAUGAAAUCCAAUCCAAAAUGGAUCCUUUUAGGGAUAAAAACUACAUUUUGUCUCUCAUCUCUAUCAAGAAAGUACAUCUAAACUGUUAAUUAUAAGAAUGCUAUUUUUUAUUUUAUUAACUGUUAACAACAGUUACUCCCGAAAAAAACCUAGUAACAACAAAAUUAGGCCUAUAUUAUUGUUUUGUUCUCUUAACGUGGUUAUCUUAAUUCUUCAUGAAUCCUUAAAUGAUAUUUACAUUCUAUUAUCUACAAUGAGUAAUACAUUUAUACUUUACGAAUACCAAUAAUCUACAAUUUUAAUAUUAAAAAAUAGUUUGCUAGACUUUGAAAGAUCCACCGAUAAUAUGAUGGGUGCUAUGUCUAUUCCCAGGAGUUUAUCACAUUUACAUACAGAAUGUGAAGUUUUGAUACGAGCGAUGGAGUGUACGAAAACCCUACAUAUCUCAGAAGUGGUGUUUGCAACAGACUGCUCACAGUUGGUGAAGAUGGUGUCUACUCCAACUGAAUGGCCGACGUUUACUACUCACAUGGAGGAGUUUCUACGAUAUAAGGAAUAUUUUUCUAUCUUCACUAUUUAGCAUAUUCCAAGGGCACAAAACACAAUGGCAAAUAAGCUAGCACGAGAUGUUAGAACUCAGCCUUCUGCUAUGGUUUAUGUUAACUCCGUUCCUCUGAAAUGGCUCUCGACUCAGGAAUCUACUUAGUAUAGUUUGGUCUUUUCUGUUGAAAAAAAAAAAAAAGACUUUGAUAGAUUUCUUUUGGAAAUACGUUUUUAAUUAUAUUGCAUAAUAUAUUAUUGUUUUAAAAAUAUAUAAGCAUAUCAAUGUUUAAAUUUUCUACUUCUGGACCAACUAUAUAUAGACUGAAGUUUAUUUCUACUCUUGGCAUAAUUAUCUUUAGCUGUAGAAGAUGAAUAAUUCCAUAUCCAGCCUAUGAAACCAAGAUAAUUUUACGUAACGCAUACCAAUACGUUAAUUUGUUUUCAAUAGUGUUUAUUAUUCUCUUUAGUCUACUGGUCCAGCGUGUCUGUCUUUAGUCUAUCCGACCCAGGUUCGUAUAACGUCUUCCCCAUAUCAGACAGUAAUUUUAUUUUUUUUCUGUCUUUUUCUUUUAAAAAGUGGCGAAUUUUUUUUAUUUUUGGAUCCAGCCACUAAAUUUCUAAGACCGGCUCUGGAUGUACAUCUUUUCAUUUGAUUUUGAUGUGUCUUGAUUCAGAAAAAUAUCUAUGCAUCACACGAAAAUUCGAAGAAACAAUUUUUAGGUGGGUUUGUUAAACUCGAAUUAGCAAGGCAUAUAUAAAUAGCUAAAUAUAUAAUACAGUACGUAAUAAUAAAAGGGCUAAUGAUUAAAUGGUUGAUUAAAAUUAUAAAAAGAGGUCCACCACUUCUAGCAAUCAAAUGCUUCUUAUAUCUUUGUUUGCCAUGAAUAAUUUCAUUGAUGAUGCAAGUCUAUUUAUGCGGCGAACUGCAAAUUGUAAGAUGUUGUAUAUAUCGUCAUAAAUAGCAAUAGGUUUAAUAUUUGGAUAAUUGAAAUCAUUUUCGUAGUUUAUUACUCUAUAUGUAUCAUUUUAAAUGGUGUUUAAGAUUUUUACACAAUUAUUAAAAAAUUGAAAUUUUAUGCAAAUUAUCUUGGUUAUAGAAAAAUAACAUUAAAUAAAACAAGUUCAACCAACAAAAACUUUAAGUAUUUUAUAAUUGGUCAUAAAUUUCAAAUGACAUUAAAUUUUAUCUUAAAUAGUGAGAAUAUCAAUUAUUAUGAAAUAAUAUAAAUAUUUUUAAACACCAACAAAAACUUACAGUAUUUUAUAACUGGUCACAAAUUUCAAAUGACAUUAAAUUUUAUCUUAAAUAGUGAGAAUAUCAAUUAUUAUAAAAUAAU